CUGCAGGUUUCUACAGACAUUUUGAAUAUUUUGACAGGUGGAUGCAGAAACCUACAUGUCUUGCAGCCACCCAGGACACCCUUAGGCCAUGGGGAAUUGCUCCAAGGAGAUCUGGUCCUGGCGAGGAUUACAGAAUCCACUUUUAACAAGCACACCAGCACAUUCAUAAGCCAUCCUCUGCGACCCCCUGAAGCAGGCUCUGCGGCCUCUGCGGCCACCCCACGCUCACAAAGAAACCUCCUCUUCCUGCCUGAGCUUUGCUGUUGGUAGCACCUCCCUGAGGUCCUGUCUUCCAACAGUAAAGCAGGUUACAUAAUAAAGUUCAUACUCUUAGCAUGAAAAUCAAGGUUCUUCCUUAUCUGGCUUCAACCACCUGUCCUAUUGGAUUUUAACCUACAAAGACACAGUGCUGGGAAUGGUACAGCCUUCUUGCCAUCAUCAUAAUUGUGCUUGGAACUGCCUGAGAAGUGUCCAGCCUAUGUGCCUAUUAAAAAUAAACU
Long non-coding RNA from Mustela lutreola (European mink), 500 nucleotides. RefSeq lists it as uncharacterized. The record is from RefSeq and is a predicted model, not a curated record. The transcript is spliced from 3 exons. NCBI's taxonomy places the organism in Eukaryota, Metazoa, Chordata, Mammalia, Carnivora, Mustelidae.